This 1172-nucleotide unclassified non-coding RNA is filed under the name Hevea brasiliensis (rubber tree). Lineage: Eukaryota; Viridiplantae; Streptophyta; Magnoliopsida; Malpighiales; Euphorbiaceae. The record is from RNAcentral.
AUUAAUUGAUGUACGUUAAAGGAAUAGACACAAAACUGUGGAAUGCGGGUUUUGCAGCAACUUGGCAUCAGCAAUGUAAAGGCAAAAUAAAAGCUGAUGGUAUUUAUUUGAUGUCUCCUGCAGCUUUCGAUUUAAUGCUUCUCAGGUCUUGUCGUUGGUAUGGUUUCUUUGGUAUUUAUUUACUUUGUUUUAAUGGUAUUCUGAUUUCUGAUACCAAACUCCUGCUUCCCUUCCCAUAUUGAAAUUUACCAUUUUUAACAACCAGCUCAACCGGAAUGUUACCAACUUAUUCCAAUUUCUUAAAAAGGUUUUAACCUCCAUAUUAUCAAAUAAUUUUUUUUUAUCAUUCUCAUAAAAAAUUGCACCUAUGAUAUGUUUAGUGUAAAUUACAAAAUAAUAUGUAUUUUACCCUUUGUUUUAUAGAAUAUAUUUGAAUGUAAUGGACUGUAAUGAAAUUUCCUUUAAUCUAAAACGGAAGAACCGAAAACUACAACAAACUGGAAGAGCUGAAAACUAGUUGCUGUAGUUAAAGUUCUUCCGCUGUUGAUGCUUUCUAGCCAUGAAAAUUUCUCAUGAAAUAAAAACAAGAUACUAUCCUUUUAAAACAACCAUAAUACAUGAUAAUGCAAAUGAAACUCAUCAAUGUUAUUCAGUUAUGGAGAGGAUUUGGUCCAGUGGGAACACGUCGCUUCUCAGCACUGAAGUUUGGGCCAUUCUUCUCCAUUGCCGGAGAACAAUGAUAAUACCUUCCAAAAAGGCUGUGAUGGGGGUGGCUGUGGCGGUGAUCUUGCUUGUGAUACAAAGUAGCCAUUGUAGGGGAGACUUGUGCCACUGCAUGGAAUGGUUGAACGUUUGACAUGGAGAUAAGCAAGAGAAAAAUGACAGCUACAAUCUGCAGGCCUGAAAAUGCUUUAGAAGGAAUAAAUCUCUUCAUGUUGUUGAUGUUUGAGAAGAGUGGGGGAAGUGUAGAAGAAGAUGACACUUCAACUAAAUGCAUGAAGAAAGCUAUUUGUCUGUAUAUAUUUAUAUAUAUGAAGCGGCAGUGCCGGCCUGAUGGGGAGUUGAAAGAAGCUAUUUGAACACUAAUUUUGGUCUCCAACAGUUUUUUUUUCCUUUGUGUAAUAAAUGGGCUCUCAAGCUCAGUUUUCUCCUUUGCACGUAUACCAUGCAAA